GUGCAUUAGGAGUUUAAGAUACUAGCAAGAAAUCAUGAAGUUGGAUUAGAAAUUAGAUUUCAAGUUGAAGAUUUUCUGUCUAAAGAUUGAUAGAAUUGAGUCUAGAAUGAAUGAGAUAUGGCUAGUUAAAACUAGCAAACUAAAACCAAGGUUUUGAAGAAAUUAGAAAAAUAGAGGGUUUUGGUUUUUAGCUAGAACUUGAGCUUCAAGAUGAAUUUGAAGCUCAUUUUUUUGUAUACAUGUUACUUAUAAUAUAAAAAGCUUAUGUCUAAAAUCUCAUAUCAAUUGAGACUCUGACUUGGGAGAAAUGGCAAAAUUUGUUCUCAUGUGUCUAGGGUUUUGAUUUUCAAAAGUACUUGAUAAGGAUUUGGUGAUAUUAGUCGAUU
Molecule: long non-coding RNA, 386 nt
Filed under: Physcomitrium patens
Lineage: Eukaryota; Viridiplantae; Streptophyta; Bryopsida; Funariales; Funariaceae
Description: long non-coding RNA (PPAT_LNC003194)
Source: RNAcentral